UCGCGACGUCUCCUGGSCSUUUGUAUCACCUUUCUUCUGUCUCUCUCUCUCUCUCUCUCUCUCUCUCUUUCUCUGUCUCCUGGAGCGAGAAUGAUGCACUGUGUUAAGCAGAGGACACAGUGGCUGCAGUAUUUGUAAGGGGAGGAAGGAGGUGGAUGAUGGAGGAUGGAGGAGGCUCCUUCUCUUCCUCGUUGGUUGGUUGGUUGGUUGGUUCCAACUUUGCAAGGGGAGUUGGGUUGUGGGUUAGCUGAGGGGCAGCUUUCGCGGCGCGUUUUGCAUGGGGUACCCUGCACCCCCAACGCAUC
Molecule: long non-coding RNA, 305 nt
Filed under: Hordeum vulgare
Lineage: Eukaryota; Viridiplantae; Streptophyta; Magnoliopsida; Poales; Poaceae
Description: long non-coding RNA (HVUL_LNC006151)
Source: RNAcentral